Ananas comosus (pineapple) is the source of this 383-nucleotide long non-coding RNA. RefSeq lists it as uncharacterized. The record is from RefSeq and is a predicted model, not a curated record. The transcript has 2 exons. Lineage: Eukaryota; Viridiplantae; Streptophyta; Magnoliopsida; Poales; Bromeliaceae.
UUCCUCUGUCUUUAUCCUCCCCUCCCAUCUGUUGCUUCAAGAGAGAGAAAAGGAGAAGAUAGAGAAAGGAGAUUGAGGAUUUUGACCUACUCGGCGAUCCGAUCGAUCUCGCGCGCGCAUAAAUUUUUGUUGACGCUUCGAUUGCGAGAGAUUGGUGCACCUUUCGUUGAUCAAGAUAAGAAGAUCACGUAGUAGAUAGAAUCUCCAACCAGUGUACAUGUGUGUUAGAGGACCACCAAAUAAAGAGUUGUUUUGUACUGCAGAUCUGCGCUGGCGAGGGCCAGGGCCUUUUAUUUGUACUUUUACUUGUUGGGGUUUGAGAUUUAUAUGAUUUUUGUAUAUGAUAUGCAGUAGUUCAGCUUUACAUACAGUGCUCUGAUACA